Molecule: unclassified non-coding RNA, 914 nt
Filed under: Hevea brasiliensis (rubber tree)
Lineage: Eukaryota; Viridiplantae; Streptophyta; Magnoliopsida; Malpighiales; Euphorbiaceae
Source: RNAcentral
GUUUGAAUCUGAUUAAUAGAAUAAGAGGGAGGAAGCAGUAAUGAACUAAAUCACUUGCAUGUUGAAGUGUAUGAGAAAUUUGGGGGAUCGGAAGAAGCUGUAGUUAAUUUUUAUGCCAAUUAUUUUGGGGCAAUUCCCAAUUGAGGGUUUAAUUUGAUCAUCAAAUUAUGGCAACAACUAAGGUCUACGUUGUGUAUUACUCACUUUAUGGCCAUGUCGAGACUAUGGCACGAGAAAUACAACGCGGAGUCAAUUCAGUUGAGGGCGUCGAAGCAACACUUUGGCAGGUUCCGGAGACACUUCCUGAGAGGAUAUUGGAGAAGAUGAAGGCUCCUAAAAAGCCUGAUGAUGUGCCUGAGAUCACACCUGAGCAGCUCUUGGAAGCUGAUGGUUUCAUCUUUGGUUUCCCUUCUCGUUUUGGUGUGAUGGCUGCCCAAUUCAAAGCCUUUUUUGAUGCCUCCGAUGAGAUAUGGGCAACUCAAGCAUUAGCUGGUAAACCUGCUGGAAUCUUUUGGAGUACUGGUUUUCAUGGAGGUGGCCAAGAGCUUAGUGCACUAACAGCUGUAACUCAAUUGGCACAUCAUGGCAUGAUAUUUGUUCCUCUUGGAUAUACUCUUGGUAAAGGAAUGUUUGAGAUGGAUGAGGUAAAAGGUGGAUCUUCCUAUGGAGCUGGAACUUAUGCUGCAGACGGUUCUCGUCAGCCCACAGAACUGGAACUAAAACAAGCCUUUCAUCAGGGUAAAUAUAUUGCUGAAGUUACAAAGAAACUCAAGUAAUUGAUGACAGAACAAAAGAGCAAAAAGAGAGAGUUAAAAUACAAUCAAGACGUAUUUGAGCAAUCUAUCACUGAAAUGGGAAGUCCGACUCUGUCUACAAAUGUACAUCAAUUGUAUAAGCCUUUUUACUCUGUAAAG